UCACUUUCAACAACGGAUCUCUUGGCUCUCGCAUCGAUGAAGGAUGUAGCGAAGUGCGAUAAGUAAUGUGAAUUGCAGAAUUCCGUGAAUCAUCGAAUCUUUGAACGCAUAUUGCACUCUCUGGUAUUCCGGAGAGUAUGCCUGUUUGAGGGUCUGUU
Molecule: ribosomal RNA, 158 nt
Filed under: uncultured Glomus
Lineage: Eukaryota; Fungi; Glomeromycota; Glomeromycetes; Glomerales; Glomeraceae
Description: 5.8S ribosomal RNA
Rfam family: 5.8S ribosomal RNA
About the family: 5.8S ribosomal RNA (5.8S rRNA) is a component of the large subunit of the eukaryotic ribosome. It is transcribed by RNA polymerase I as part of the 45S precursor that also contains 18S and 28S rRNA.
Source: RNAcentral